Molecule: ribosomal RNA, 469 nt
Filed under: uncultured bacterium
Lineage: Bacteria
Description: partial 16S ribosomal RNA
Rfam family: Bacterial small subunit ribosomal RNA
Source: RNAcentral
GAUGAACGCUGGCGGCGUGCUUAACACAUGCAAGUCGAACGGUGAACACGGAGCUUGCUCUGUGGGAUCAGUGGCGAACGGGUGAGUAACACGUGAGCAACCUGCCCCUGACUCUGGGAUAAGCGCUGGAAACGGCGUCUAAUACUGGAUAUGUGACGUGACCGCAUGGUCUGCGUUUGGAAAGAUUUUUCGGUUGGGGAUGGGCUCGCGGCCUAUCAGCUUGUUGGUGAGGUAAUGGCUCACCAAGGCGUCGACGGGUAGCCGGCCUGAGAGGGUGACCGGCCACACUGGGAUUGAGACACGGCCCAGACUCCUACGGGAGGCAGCAGUGGGGAAUAUUGCACAAUGGGCGAAAGCCUGAUGCAGCAACGCCGCGUGAGGGAUGACGGCCUUCGGGUUGUAAACCUUUUUUAGCGGGGAAGAAGCGAAAGUGACGGUACCUGCAGAAAAAGCGCCGGCUAACUACGUG